AGUAACACGUGAGUAACCUGCCCUUGACUCUGGGAUAAGCGUUGGAAACGACGUCUAAUACCGGAUAUGACGACCGAUGGCAUCAUCUGGUUGUGGAAAGAAUUUCGGUCAAGGAUGGACUCGCGGCCUAUCAGCUAGUUGGUGAGGUAAUGGCCCACCAAGGCGACGACGGGUAGCCGGCCUGAGAGGGUGACCGGCCACACUGGGACUGAGACACGGCCCAGACUCCUACGGGAGGCAGCAGUGGGGAAUAUUGCACAAUGGGCGCAAGCCUGAUGCAGCAACGCCGCGUGAGGGAUGACGGCCUUCGGGUUGUAAACCUCUUUUAGUAGGGAAGAAGCGAAAGUGACGGUACCUGCAGAAAAAGCACCGGCUAACUACGUGCCAGCAGCCGCGGUAAUACGUAGGGUGCAAGCGUUGUCCGGAAUUAUUGGGCGUAAAGAGCUCGUAGGCGGUUUGUCGCGUCUGCUGUGAAAACUGGAGGCUCAACCUCCAGCCUGCAGUGGGUACGGGCAGACUAGAGUGCGGUAGGGGAGAUUGGAAUUCCUGGUGUAGCGGUGGAAUGCGCAGAUAUCAGGAGGAACACCGAUGGCGAAGGCAGAUCUCUGGGCCGUAACUGACGCUGAGGAGCGAAAGCGUGGGGAGCGAACAGGAUUAGAUACCCUGGUAGUCCACGCCGUAAACGUUGGGAACUAGAUGUGGGGACCAUUCCACGGUCUCCGUGUCGCAGCUAACGCAUUAAGUUCCCCGCCUGGGGAGUACGGCCGCAAGGCUAAAACUCAAAGGAAUUGACGGGGGCC
This 800-nucleotide ribosomal RNA is filed under the name bacterium. RNAcentral's name for it is "bacterial SSU rRNA". It matches the Rfam family "Bacterial small subunit ribosomal RNA", at positions 109 to 921 of the family's 1533-position model. The record is from RNAcentral.